This is a non-coding RNA of Lactuca sativa (garden lettuce), 4107 nucleotides long. NCBI's taxonomy places the organism in Eukaryota, Viridiplantae, Streptophyta, Magnoliopsida, Asterales, Asteraceae. The record is from RefSeq and is a predicted model, not a curated record.
AACGCUCAAGAAUCUUAAAUCAACAAGCAUUCCGGCACUAGCGGUUCAAGCAUUAGAGCGCCAAAUCAGACAGACGCAAAACAAAGGCACAACGCUGCGGACAGCGAACAGAAAGUUGAUUCUGCUUAACGACGCCCCACUCUUCUGUUCGAAUCGUUGAAUCAUGAAAAAUCGCUAAGUAUAGAGUAGAUCUUGGAGCGUUUGGGAGAUGUCAGAAUCACAGAAAAAAGCAACUCCAUCUGCCAAAUCUAAAGAGAAAGGUUCACUGCUAGCAGAUAUAGACAUUGGAGAUGACUUUCUUGGCUCAUGGAAGUCAAUGUCCAUGGCUGGCGAUGGAAUGGAUUUUGACUUUGGAACAACCACCAAAGGCAAGAAAAUGGAUUUCAAAUUUGACAAAAUGGAUAUGGAUUUCUCUCUUGAUGCUGAUUUUGAUAAGUUGCCAUCUUUCAAGACAGACAUGUCUGAUCUUGAUAUAUCUUCUCCUAUAAAGAAAUCUGGAAAAUCGAAGGAAAAAUCCAAAGAAGCAUCUUCUGGUGGAGAGCGAGCAAAGAGAGAUGACUUUGCAUUCUCAUUUGAUUUUAAUGAGUUUCCAGAUUUAGACUUUGGGUCAACAAAGAAAAAGACAGAUGAAAAGUGUGAAAAAUCUGAAGAUAAGGAAGGUUCUGUAGACGUUUUGGAUAAAGAUGCUGAUGCAUUAAAAGAUGAUGAUAUAUCAUCAAAGCAUCCCAUAUCAAAGGCUGAUACUCAAAUGGAGAAUAUUAAGGCUCCUGAUCCCAGAAAUGAAGAUGAACACUCGAAAUCUGUAACAUAUGAAAGCUCAAAUGCUGAAGAACAUGAGAUACAGACAACACUUUCAUCUGAGAAGAUGAUUUCAUCUAGCCAUGAGGAACCAACCCAAGAAUCUCGUUCAUCAGAGGAGAGAUCUUAUUCAGAAACUCAAGCUCAAAAAGUUAUGCAAGAUUUAUCUGGUCAAUCCUUAGAUAAUGUUUCAGAAGAAGAAUCCGGAACUUCAGUUAGAAUGGUGAACCCGAGCACAGGGAGUGAGCUAAAUAGUGAUGUGAGGCCUGUGAAUGAAGUGGUUACUAAUAGAAGUUUACUACUGGAAAAUCCAUCAGCACAUAUGAAUUCAGAAAGUCACAAGAGGGAAAUGUGCAAGGAAAGGGAUCAUAAUGUCCUUAUUGGCCAUGUUGAUGAUGAUAAUAAAAGUAAAGAUGAUUCACAUCUUGAAAGUUCCAUGAAAACUGUGAAAGGCAAUUUGACUCUUGGGGAAAUGGUUGAUAAGAGGAAUGCAGAUUCAGUUUCCAAACUUCAUAUGGGCUUGCUGGAUGGUGGAACCACAACUGAUGAGUUGGUGUCAGAGAAAGAAAGAGGGAAUAUUCCUACCCGAUCAAAAUAUUUCAAGAAACAAAAUGGAAAUGAAUAUGAAAAGCAGCAGGCAUCAGUCUCUUCAACAAAACUCAUCUCUGUUGGCAAUAAAAGAAUGGGCACCUUACCAAAUAAUCCUCCACCUGGAAAAAGGGAGUUUGGUUCUAAAAGUGUAGAGUUUGGUAGCAAGUUUUCUGGUAUAUCAAGGCCACUACCCAAUGUGGUAAGCAGAAACAUUCCUCUUCAAACUAAGAACAUUGAGACAGGUCAUGCAAAUGUCAGUGAUAAUACUCGGGAAUGCUUGAAUGCUGAUAAUAUAAAACCGAGAAAUGAACCAAUGUCAACCACAAUGACACAUAAUAUUGGUCCAACCAAGGAGGAACAUGCAUCAAGGGAAAGGGACCAAAAUCCUGUACAUAUCAAUGCACUCAGGUCUGAUGUCCAUCCAUCCAAUUCAGUGGAACAGUCAACAAAAGAUCUCCCACAGAAAAGCCUAAAUCCUGGACUUCAAGCUACAAGCAUGAAAUCUACUUGUAACAUUGGGAAAACUGUUGUAGAAAAGAAGCAGAUAUCACCUGCUAAAGCUGAGAUGAGGGCAUCUCAAGCUUCUACUCUAAGGGUUUCUAGAGCUACAGAACAGAAGUUAAAGCCACUCAGUUCUAUGUUAGCAAAGGGUCCUCCAUUAAUGGGAAACAAAGAGCAAGGUUUGGAAUUGCAAGAAAAAAUGGUGCUCAAGAGGAACCCUUCUGUUGACACAAGGAGCCAAACAACAUCCACUCCAACUCUGAAGCGUAAAACAUUUGAGGCAUCUGUUGGAACACCAACAUUUACUCCAUUAAAGCGUCUCUCUGCAUCACCCUACAGUAACAAUAUGACACCAUCAUCAGAAAAAGCUGUUGAGAAACAGAUUGGCAACAAUGCCAGCAUGGCAAAUGAGAAGUCACCUAGGGUUGACGUUUCUACCCUUGAAAUGGAGAUAUAUUCUGCAUCAGAAAAUGAUGCCCUUUUUCAACAAGCUGAGGCAUGUUCCAAGGAACUUGAUGUUAUAUGUAACAUGCUGAAAAAGAAGCAUGAGGAGGCAAAGGAUAUACUUGUUCGAGCUAUUGUCAAUAACAAUAAUCUCCUCAUGCUUAAUCAUCCUAUCUAUCAACAGAAAAUCAGCAUGGUUCAGAAAUUUGCUGCAUCCCUGAGCCUUAACUAAAACUGCAACAUGUUGUGUAUCAGGUACUUUGGCCCUGUUAUUUUUUUUUUCAAUUAAAUGCUGUCUUGCACACAUGGGCUUUUUGGUCUUUUCCUUCUUUAUGAUCAUUUUCUUCCUUCAUGUGCAAGGAAAAGAUCAAAAAGACCUAGUCUGGAAGGCACAUGAAUGGGGUAAACGAACUUGGUGAGAGGGACCAGAAAAUGCUAUGAAAACGUUAAAUAGGGACCAAAAAGGAAAAAAGAUUUCUUUUUGGACUAAUACCAAAAAAUCAGCUAAAAACAAGGAUAAAAAAUGUAGGUUACUCAAAAAUAAAUGAAUACCUAAUUUGUAAACAGUUAGAGCUUUUUUUUAAUUACAUUAAGUAAAAUGGACUGCUUUGGCCCCCUUGAGUCCAUCAAGUAGAAAAGAAGUAUUACCUUUCUAUAAAUGAUGUUUCUUUAAGUUGUUAUGAUGAUAGAACAGGAGUUUUGUUUGCUUCUGUUCUGGUAGAAGAAUUGUCAGGCUGUGAAGAUUUCAGGUAUCCCGCUCCCUCACAGACCCCAAAACACCCAAAGAGUCACAGGCACAUAGCGAUUCCAGUAGCUUUGCCAUCCUUUGCCGGAGAUCUAAAAACCGAUGGAAAUCACAAGCGUAGCGUUCUUCAGUCAUUCCGCUCUCAACAAAUCUAAUUAAAAUAUUCAGAGACCCAUGGCGAUCUAUGUAAUUCCACUGCACGAGACCAAAACACCCCCAACCUUCGCAGUAGACUCUCAUUCACCUAUCUAUUCCUAGAAAUUAUCAAGAUCGAUGAUAACCGGAGCAGUCAGAGAGUUUUUGGUCAUAAUCAAGAACAACAAGAAGAAAUUAAUGACGUCUUCAACAGCCAAACAGAGGAGGGAUUCAUUUGUAAAGUUAGCGAUCGUGAAUCAUUUCAAAAUUUGUGGCAUAUGUAAAUCAGAAAAAACCUUGAAUUAAAUCAAUUAAUGUUUUCAAAUAAUAAAUAGGUACGGCCUUUGAUUGUAGUAUAUCCAGUUGGAAGAGUAGCAACUUUUCUUUCAAUGGGAAUGCUUAAAGUUGUUGGUUUAAAAGGGAAAAGUGAGCCAUCUGUGACAGAAGAUGAACUCAAGCUGAUGUUGAGGGUUGCAGAGUAGCAGAGUUGAUAUGGGGUAUUGAGGAAGAAGAGCAAGAUGCAUGAAUUUCAUGUCACUUUUGUUUCCAAGUUUCAGUAUUUCCUGAAAAUGUGUUGGAGAUAAAAGGCACCCAUGUGAAGGAUGUUAUAUAAGACUCCUCUUGUAGAUGUAGAUGUGGUUGAUUCUGGUGCAAGUUUGGUAUAUUUUCAUCACUUAUGGGCCGGGUGACUCAUUAGAAGUAUUUUGGGUUAACUUGAAACAAUUAGUUAAAGAAGGAAGUUUUCAUGAAAGAUUUAUUCAGCAGUUAUUGAAUUGGACUCAUAGGGUGCAAGUAUUUGAGGAUCGGAUUGAUAACAUUGUGGGCGUGGCUUAUGCAAUGGAUUUGUUGGAUCUUGUACAAAAAGUAAGAUGAAUUUUGAUUAUUCUGAAUCA